Molecule: ribosomal RNA, 442 nt
Filed under: uncultured bacterium
Lineage: Bacteria
Description: partial 16S ribosomal RNA
Rfam family: Bacterial small subunit ribosomal RNA
Source: RNAcentral
CCUACGGGAGGCAGCAGUGGGGAAUAUUGCACAAUGGGGGGAACCCUGAUGCAGCAAUGCCGCGUGAAGGAUGAAGGUUUUCGGAUUGUAAACUUCUUUUGUACGGGACGAAGAACGUGACGGUACCGUAAGAAUAAGCCACGGCUAACUACGUGCCAGCAGCCGCGGUAAUCCGGAGGAUGCGAGCGUUAUCCGGAUUUAUUGGGUUUAAAGGGUGCGUAGGCGGAAUAUCAAGUCAGCGGUAAAAAUUCGGGGCUCAACCCCGUCGUGCCGUUGAAACUGAUGUUCUUGAGUGGGCGAGAAGUAUGCGGAAUGCGUGGUGUAGCGGUGAAAUGCAUAGAUAUCACGCAGAACUCCGAUUGCGAAGGCAGCAUACCGGCGCCCAACUGACGCUGAAGCACGAAAGCGUGGGUAUCGAACAGGAUUAGAUACCCGGGUAGUC